RNAcentral lists this long non-coding RNA (1750 nucleotides) under Anas zonorhyncha (Eastern spot-billed duck). RNAcentral's name for it is "lncRNA (ENSAZOG00000009323.1)". The record is from RNAcentral. Lineage: Eukaryota; Metazoa; Chordata; Aves; Anseriformes; Anatidae.
AUGUCCUCCAUGUCCUUGAUGUCCUCAAUCUUCUNNNNNNNNNNGUCACCACGUCACCGUCCCCAUCUUGUCCUCCUUGUCCUCGAUGUCCUCAAUGUCCUCCACGUCCUCCUUGUCCCCCUUGUCCUUGAUGUCCUCCAUGUCCUUGAUGUCCUCCACAUCCUCGCUGUCCCCAAUGUCCCCAAUGUCCCCCUUGUCCCCCUUGUCCUCGAUGUCCUCCAUAUCCUCGAUGUCCUCCAUGUCCUUNNNNNNNNNNNNNNNNNNNNNNNNNNNNNNNNNCCCCGUCCCCAUCCCCACGUCCUCCUUGUCACCUCCACCACGUCCCCACCGCGUCCCCACCACCACGUCCCUGUCCCCCGGCGCCACGUCAGUGUCACCCUGUCCCCACGACCACGGCGCCACGUCACUGUCCCCACAGCGCCAUCUUCACCCCCCCGUGGCCCCAGCCCUGCGGCCACGGUGGCACUUUCGUGUCCCCAUCAUCACGUCCCCACUGUCACCUCCACGUCCCCGUCACCACGUCACCGUCCCCAUCCUCAGGUCCUUGUCCCCAUCAUCACGUCCCCACUGUCACCUCCACGUCCCCGUCACCACGUCACCGUCCCCAUCCUCAGGUCCUUGUCCCCAUCAUCACGUCCCCACUGUCACCUCCACGUCCCCAUCACCACGUCACCGUCCCCAUCCUCAUGUCCUUGUCCCCACCUCCUUGUCCCCAUGUCCUUGUCCCCAUCUUCAUGUCCUUGUCCCCAUCCUCAGGUUCUUGUCCCCAUCUUCACGUCCCCACCAUCAUCUCCAUGUCCCCAUCUCAACAUCUUUGUCCCCAUCCUUGUGUCCUUGUCCCCAUCUCAAGGUCCUUGUCCCCAUCCUUGUGUCAUUGUCCCCAUCACCAUGUCCCCAUCACCAUCUCCUUGUCCCCAUCCCCACGUCCUUGUCCCCAUCUCAACGUCCUUGUCCCCAUCCUUGUGUCAUUGUCCCCAUCAGGUCCUUGUCCCCAUCCUCAGCUCCUUGUCCCCAUCUCCAUGUCCCCACCAUCAUCUCCUUGUCCCCAUCCCCAUGUCCUUGUCCCCAUCUUCAUGUCCCCAUCACCAUCUCCUUGUCCCCAUCCUCAGGUCCAUGUCCCCAUCUCCUUGUCCCCAUCACCACGUCCCCACCAUCAUCUCCGUGUCCCCAUCCUCACGUCCUUUUCCCCAUCCUCACGUCCUUGUCCCCAUCCUCGUGUCCUUGUCCCCAUCCUCAGGUCCAUGUCCCCAUCUCCUUGUCCCCAUCACCACGUCCCCACCAUCAUCUCCAUGUCCCCGUCACCAUGUCCUUGUCCCCAUGUCCCCAUCCCCACCUCCAUGUCCCCAUCCCCGUGUCCUUGUCCCCAUCCUCAGGUCCAUGUCCCCAUCUCCUUGUCCCCAUCACCACGUCCCCACCAUCAUCUCCGUGUCCCCAUCCUCACGUCCUUUUCCCCAUCCUCACGUCCUUGUCCCCAUCCUCGUGUCCUUGUCCCCAUCCUCAGGUCCUUGUCCCCAUCUUCAUGUCCCCAUCACCAUCUCCUUGUCCCCAUCACCACGUCCUUGUCCCCAUCCUCGUGUCCUUGUCCCCAUCUCCACGUCCUUGUCCCCAUGUCCCCAUCCCCAUGUCCUUGUCCCCAUCUUCAUGUCCCCACCAUCAUCUCCAUGUCCCCAUCCCCACGUCCUUGUCCCUGUCCUCAUGUCCUUGUCCCCAUCCCCACGUCCCCACCAUCAUCUCCGUGUCCCCAUCCUCA